This 150-nucleotide unclassified non-coding RNA is filed under the name soil metagenome. RNAcentral describes it as "partial internal transcribed spacer 1". The record is from RNAcentral.
CCGAGUUUACAACUCCCCAAACCCCCUGUGAACAUACCACUUGUUGCCUCGGCGGAUCAGCCCGCUCCCGGUAAAAACGGGACGGCCCGCCAGAGGACCCCUAAACUCUGUUUCUAUAUGUAACUUCUGAGUAAAACCAUAAAUAAAUCA